GUGGGGAAUAUUGGACAAUGGGCGAAAGCCUGAUCCAGCCAUGCCGCGUGUGUGAAGAAGGUCUUCGGAUUGUAAAGCACUUUAAGUUGGGAGGAAGGGUAGUAACCUAAUACGUUGCUACUUUGACGUUACCGACAGAAUAAGCACCGGCUAACUUCGUGCCAGCAGCCGCGGUAAUACGAAGGGUGCAAGCGUUAAUCGGAAUUACUGGGCGUAAAGCGCGCGUAGGUGGUUCAGUAAGUUGGAAGUGAAAUCCCCGGGCUCAACCUGGGAACUGCUGUCAAAACUGCUGAGCUAGAGUACGGUAGAGGGUGGUGGAAGUUCCUGUGUAGCGGUGAAAUGCGUAGAUAUAGGAAGGAACACCAGUGGCGAAGGCGACCACCUGGACUGAUACUGACACUGAGGUGCGAAAGCGUGGGGAGCAAACAGGAUUAGAAACCCGGGUAGUCC
This 450-nucleotide ribosomal RNA is filed under the name uncultured bacterium. Its description in RNAcentral is "bacterial SSU rRNA". It matches the Rfam family "Bacterial small subunit ribosomal RNA", at positions 354 to 796 of the family's 1533-position model. The record is from RNAcentral.